UACGAAGGGGGCUAGCGUUGUUCGGAAUUACUGGGCGUAAAGCGCACGUAGGCGGAUCGAUCAGUCAGGGGUGAAAUCCCAGAGCUCAACUCUGGAACUGCCCUUGAUACUGUCGAUCUAGAGUAUGGAAGAGGUGAGUGGAAUUCCGAGUGUAGAGGUGAAAUUCGUAGAUAUUCGGAGGAACACCAGUGGCGAAGGCGGCUCACUGGUCCAUUACUGACGCUGAGGUGCGAAAGCGUGGGGAGCAAACAGG
Molecule: ribosomal RNA, 253 nt
Filed under: uncultured bacterium
Lineage: Bacteria
Description: partial 16S ribosomal RNA
Rfam family: Bacterial small subunit ribosomal RNA
Source: RNAcentral